This is a non-coding RNA of Schizosaccharomyces pombe (fission yeast), 557 nucleotides long. The record is from the annotation of a GenBank genome assembly. Lineage: Eukaryota; Fungi; Ascomycota; Schizosaccharomycetes; Schizosaccharomycetales; Schizosaccharomycetaceae.
UUCAAAUCUGGUCUCUAACAUUUGAAAAAUCUAGUUCAGGAUGUUGUUUCAUGAAAUUUUGCAGUACAUCUUUUCGUUUUUGUUCAUCGGUACGCUUUUGGCUUUGCUCCAACAUCAUUUUUUCAACUGUAGCUCUUGUUUCUUCAUCUAGAUCAGAUAAUUUUGAAUUUUCGGGCUCAAUUGAGCCUAUAUCGAUUGAGGGAUGCCCUUUUAUAACACACGACCACCAUUCCAUUUUAUUGGAUUUCUCGAGAUGGAUAACAAGCCUUUCUUGUUCUUCGACAGUCCAGGUGCUUUCAUCUAAAUUGAUCUGUUUUUCGAGUGGACCACUGAGAAGGACUUUUCGUUCUGGGACGUUGAUUUGAAUUUUGAGAUCGUGAUUUGACAUAUCUACCUGGAGGGAUUUCGCUCUUGUCCCUUUGGGUACAUGGAUGACAAUAUCAACAUCGGCUAUUGUUUGAUCCCACUCGUACUCGGCCUCUUCGAGUUUUACUUGAUGCAUUCUUAAACCUGCAGCUCAACUCACGCUUUUCGUAAUCGGUUGAUUACUUUGUAAU